GAAGUCGAUGACGGUGAGAUGGCAUCUCAUAUUCUCAAUGGGCUUGAUUUUGAAUAUAAUCCUUUUGUCUCAUCGAUGCUUCAUCGAUC
Molecule: small nucleolar RNA, 89 nt
Organism: Setaria italica (foxtail millet)
Lineage: Eukaryota; Viridiplantae; Streptophyta; Magnoliopsida; Poales; Poaceae
Rfam family: Small nucleolar RNA Z247
About the family: Z247 is a member of the C/D class of snoRNA which contain the C (UGAUGA) and D (CUGA) box motifs. Most of the members of the box C/D family function in directing site-specific 2'-O-methylation of substrate RNAs.
Source: Rfam